GGGGGUUUAGCUCAGUGGUUAGAGCGCUUGCCUAGCAAGCACAAGGGCCUGGGUUCGGUCCCCAGCUCCG
Molecule: transfer RNA, 70 nt
Filed under: Rattus norvegicus (Norway rat)
Lineage: Eukaryota; Metazoa; Chordata; Mammalia; Rodentia; Muridae
Rfam family: tRNA
About the family: Transfer RNA (tRNA) molecules are approximately 80 nucleotides in length. Their secondary structure includes four short double-helical elements and three loops (D, anti-codon, and T loops).
Source: Rfam by way of RNAcentral